CAGCAGCAGCCGCGGUAAUACGUAGGGUGCAAGCGUUAAUCGGAAUUACUGGGCGUAAAGCGUGCGCAGGCGGUUUUGUAAGUCUGUCGUGAAAUCCCCGGGCUCAACCUGGGAAUGGCGAUGGAGACUGCAAGGCUAGAAUCUGGCAGAGGGGGGUAGAAUUCCACGUGUAGCAGUGAAACGCGUAGAUAUGUGGAGGAACACCGAUGGCGAAGGCAGCCCCCUGGGCUAAGAUUGACGCUCAUGCACGAAAGCGUGGGGAGCAAACAGGAUUAGAGACCCCAGUAGUCCCUGUCUCUUAUAC
Molecule: ribosomal RNA, 304 nt
Filed under: uncultured bacterium
Lineage: Bacteria
Description: partial 16S ribosomal RNA
Rfam family: Bacterial small subunit ribosomal RNA
Source: RNAcentral